GUAAGGAAUAUUGGUCAAUGGAGGCAACUCUGAACCAGCCAUGCCGCGUGCAGGAAGACGGCCCUCUGGGUUGUAAACUGCUUUUAUCCGGGAAUAAACCUGCCUUCGUGAAGGUAGCUGAAUGUACCGGAAGAAUAAGGAUCGGCUAACUCCGUGCCAGCAGCCGCGGUAAUACGGAGGAUCCAAGUGUUAUCCGGAUUUAUUGGGUUUAAAGGGUGCGUAGGCGGCCUGUUAAGUCAGGGGUGAAAGACGGUGGCUCAACCAUCGCAGUGCCCUUGAUACUGAUGGGCUUGAAUGGACUAGAGGUAGGCGGAAUGUGACAAGUAGCGGUGAAAUGCAUAGAUAUGUCACAGAACACCGAUUGCGAAGGCAGCUUACUAUGGUCCUAUUGACGCUGAGGCACGAAAGCGUGGGGAUCGAACAGGAUUAGAAACCCUUGUAGUCC
Molecule: ribosomal RNA, 445 nt
Filed under: uncultured bacterium
Lineage: Bacteria
Description: bacterial SSU rRNA
Rfam family: Bacterial small subunit ribosomal RNA
Source: RNAcentral